CUACAUAAUCCAAGCACGGCGAUAGAUCCGAAGGUAUGUUUGGAAUCAUAAUUUUUCUUGUGAAUUUAGCAUUUAUGAUUGAAAUAACAAAAAGUAUUAACAUUUACACAUUUCUUUAUUUCUUGUAGCUUGAAGUUUAUGAUCUCAUUAGGCAGAGUAAGAGAAGCAUCACUUUGCCUUUAGGAUUCUGUGAUGCUUCUGAGUAGGUUGAUUAAGGCAGAUGACUUCAUGAGGUGCUGCAAGAUAACAAGUUGAGGUGUGUGGCAGACUGACUACUUUGUCAUAUUGUCGCCUAUAGGCCUUUGUGAUUUACUUACUAUCUGAUGCGUACAAAUUUCAAGGCCUAGACACCGAUAGCUGUCAUUAGCCGUUAGUGCUGAGAAUGCUCCGGUGUAAUAUCUUGUCUACACACUGGACCAUCCGGUGAGUAGCAUCUCUUUUGAGCCGAAGACAAAUCUCCUGGAAAAUGCUCUGAUGUUACAUCUCAUUGAACACCGGAUCAUCCGGUGUAUUGAACACUAUCUUCUGAAAAUUUACACAAGUACUGUAAAAUACUAUGGCGUUCUCAUCACUCUAACACUGAACCAUCUGGUGUUGACUUCAUCUUUUUUGAGCUACGUCACCAGAAAAAUGCUCCAAUAUGAGUAACUUUUUUAUCACUA
Phragmites australis (common reed) is the source of this 662-nucleotide long non-coding RNA. RefSeq lists it as uncharacterized. The record is from RefSeq and is a predicted model, not a curated record. The transcript has 2 exons. NCBI's taxonomy places the organism in Eukaryota, Viridiplantae, Streptophyta, Magnoliopsida, Poales, Poaceae.